CGUGUUAGUGGAAGGCCUCUGGAAGGGGUCGCCGUAGAGGGUGAGAGCCCCGUACACGAAAACACGACGUCUCCCGGACGUGUUUCCCAAGUAGCACCGAGCCCGUGAAAUUCGGUGUGAAUCUGGCGGGACCACCCGCUAAGCCUAAAUACUCCCUGGUGACCGAUAGCGGACAAGUACCGUGAGGGAAAGGUGAAAAGUACCCCGGGAGGGGAGUGAAAUAGUACCUGAAACCGUGUGCCUACAAGCCGUGAGAGCCUUAAGCGUUUCGGCGCUGGGGUGAUUGCGUGCCUUUUGAAGAAUGAGCCUGCGAGUUAGUGGUACGUGGCGAGGUUAACCCGUGUGGGGCAGCCGUAGCGAAAGCGAGUCCGAACAGGGCGAUCUAUAGUCGCGUGCCCUAGACCCGAAGCCGAGUGAUCUACCCAUGGCCAGGUUGAAGCGCGGGUAAGACCGCGUGGAGGACCGAACCCACCAGGGUUGAAAACCUGGGGGAUGAGCUGUGGGUAGGGGUGAAAGGCCAAUCAAACUCGGUGAUAGCUGGUUCUCCCCGAAAUGCAUUUAGGUGCAGCGUCACGUGUUUCUUGCCGGAGGUAGAGCACUGGAUGGCUGAGGGGCCCCACAAGGUUACUGACGUCAACCAAACUCCGAAUGCCGGUAAGUGAGAGCGUGGCAGUGAGACUGCGGGCGAUAAGGUUCGUAGUCGAGAGGGAAACAGCCCAGAUCAUCGGCUAAGGCCCCUAAGCGUGUGCUAAGUGGAAAAGGAUGUGGAGUCGCAGAGACAACCAGGAGGUUGGCUUAGAAGCAGCCACCCUUGAAAGAGUGCGUAAUAGCUCACUGGUCAAGUGAUUCCGCGCCGACAAUGUAGCGGGGCUCAAGCACACCGCCGAAGCCGUGGCAUUCACACUUUACCCGUCGGUCCUUGUGUGGGCCGGCCAGGUGUGUGGAUGGGUAGGGGAGCGUCGUGUGGCGGUCGAAGCGGCGGAGGGAUCCAGCCGUGGACGCCACGCGAGUGAGAAUGCAGGCAUGAGUAGCGAGAGGGGAGUGAGAAACUCCCCCGCCGGAAGACCAAGGGUUCCUGGGCCAGGCUAAUCCGCCCAGGGUGAGUCGGGACCUAAGGCGAGGCCGACAGGCGUAGUCGAUGGACAACGGGUUGAUAUUCCCGUACCCGCGAAGGAACGCCCAUGCCGGACCCAGCGAUGCUAACCGCCCGAAGCCCGGUUCCGAUCCUUUCGAGGUGAGGUUCCGGUUCUAGCGCGGGACCCGGACUGGUAGUAGGCAAGCGAUGGGGUGACGCAGGAAGGUAGUCCUACCGGUGAGUGGUAGUACCGGUGCAAGGGUGUGGCCCGCGGAAUAGGUAAAUCCGUUCCGCAUGCAGGGUGAGGCCCGACGCAUAGCCGAAUGAGGCGAAUUGGAUGAUCCUAUGCUGCCGAGAAAAGCCUCUAGCGAGUUCCGAGCGGCCCGUACCCCAAACCAACUCAGGUGGUCAGGUAGAGAAUACCGAGGCGAUCGAGCGAACUGUGGUUAAGGAACUCGGCAAAAUGCCCCCGUAACUUCGGGAGAAGGGGGACCCUUGACCGUGAACCGCCUUGCGCGGGGCAGCGGUGGGGGGUCGCAGAGACCAGUGAGAAGCGACUGUUUACUAAAAACACAGGUCCGUGCGAAGUCGUAAGACGAUGUAUACGGACUGACGCCUGCCCGGUGCUGGAACGUUAAGGGGACGGGUUAGCCGCAAGGCGAAGCUCAGAACUCAAGCGCCAGUAAACGGCGGUGGUAACUAUAACCAUCCUAAGGUAGCGAAAUUCCUUGUCGGGUAAGUUCCGACCUGCACGAAUGGCGUAACGACUUCUCAGCUGUCUCAACCACAGGCUCGGCGAAAUUGCACUACGAGUAAAGAUGCUCGUUACGCGCGGCAGGACGGAAAGACCCCGGGACCUUUACUAUAGCUUGAUAUUGGUGUUCGGUUCGGCUUGUGUAGGAUAGGUGGGAGACUGCGAAGUCCGCACGCCAGUGUGGAUGGAGUCGCCGUUGAAAUACCACUCUGGUCGAAUUGGAUGUCUAACCUCGGUCCGUGAUCCGGAUCAGGGACAGUGUCAGGUGGGUAGUUUAACUGGGGCGGUUGCCUCCCAAAAUGUAACGGAGGCGCCCAAAGGUUCCCUCAGCCUGGUUGGCAAUCAGGUGUCGAGUGCAAGUGCACAAGGGAGCUUGACUGCGAGACCGACGGGUCGAGCAGGAGCGAAAGCUGGGACUAGUGACCCGGCACCGGCAUGUGGAAGCGGUGUCGCUCAACGGAUAAAAGGUACCCCGGGGAUAACAGGCUGAUCUUCCCCAAGAGUCCAUAUCGACGGGAUGGUUUGGCACCUCGAUGUCGGCUCGUCGCAUCCUGGGGCUGGAGUAGGUCCCAAGGGUUGGGCUGUUCGCCCAUUAAAGCGGUACGCGAGCUGGGUUUAGAACGUCGUGAGACAGUUCGGUCCCUAUCCGCCGCGCGCGUAAGAGACUUGAGAAGAGCUGUCCCUAGUACGAGAGGACCGGGACGGACGAACCUCUGGUGUGCCAGUUGUACCGCCAGGUGCACUGCUGGUUGGCCACGUUCGGCAGGGAUAACCGCUGAAAGCAUCUAAGCGGGAAGCUCGCUUCAAGAUGAGGUCUCUCACCGGGUCAACCGGGUAAGGCCCCCGCCCAGACCAGCGGGUUGAUAGGCCGGAAGUGGAAGCACCGCAAGGUGUGUGAGCUGACCGGUACUAACAGGCCGAGGGCUUGACCAC
RNAcentral lists this ribosomal RNA (2762 nucleotides) under Geodermatophilaceae bacterium URHB0062. Its description in RNAcentral is "bacterial LSU rRNA". It matches the Rfam family "Bacterial large subunit ribosomal RNA", at positions 325 to 2925 of the family's 2925-position model. Lineage: Bacteria; Bacillati; Actinomycetota; Actinomycetes; Geodermatophilales; Geodermatophilaceae. The record is from RNAcentral.